This 490-nucleotide ribosomal RNA is filed under the name uncultured Chromatium sp. Its description in RNAcentral is "bacterial SSU rRNA". It matches the Rfam family "Bacterial small subunit ribosomal RNA", at positions 8 to 490 of the family's 1533-position model. Lineage: Bacteria; Pseudomonadati; Pseudomonadota; Gammaproteobacteria; Chromatiales; Chromatiaceae. The record is from RNAcentral.
AGAGUUUGAUCAUGGCUCAGAACGAACGCUGGCGGCGUGGAUUAGGCAUGCAAGUCGUGCGUGAAAGGGGAGCAAUCCCCGAGUAAAGCGGCGAACUGGUGAGUAACAGGUGGGUAACGUGCCCUGAAGUGGGGGAUAACACCGGGAAACCGGUGCUAAUACCGCAUGUGGCGUCAAGGACCUUGGUCCCUGCCGCUAAAGCAGCAGUGCGCUUCAGGAUCGGCCCGUCCCCGAUUAGCUUGUUGGUGAGGUAACGGCUCACCAAGGCGACGAUCGGUAGCUGGUCUGAGAGGAUGGUCAGCCACACUGGGACUGAGACACGGCCCAGACUCCUACGGGAGGCAGCAGUGGGGAAUAUUGGACAAUGGGGGCAACCCUGAUCCAGCGACGCCGCGUGUGUGAAGAAGGCCUGCGGGUUGUAAAGCACUUUUAGUGGGGAGGAAAAGCUCAGACCUAACACGUCUGGGAAUUGACUAACCCAAAGAAAAAG